UUCCUCCCACUCUGAGCAUUUGUUUAUGUCUGUAGUAUGCAACAGAAGAUUUAAAAAUAGAAGGGUUUCCAUGGCAGCCUGGAAACUCCAGAUCCAGAGACGAACUGCGGCACACAGCCUCGCCUGGGAGGACGCCGGAGUGGCCGUGGUCCUCUCCCUCUGACGUCACGACGGAGUCCCCUUGGAGCAGCACUCGUCACACCUCCUCCUGGGUGAGAGCCGCUCAGCCUUCUGGGUGGUGUCAGUCCUUCGUGGCCCAGGUCCUCGUCCCCUGCCUCCCGCCGGCUCGUCUGUCUCACUCCGAGGACGGGGACGACAGCUCUUUGCUGUCAGCCUCCAGGGAAUGUUUAGGCCUUCAGGAGGGCCAGCAUUGGGCCAGAGAGAUGAAGUGGAGCGGGUGCUGGCGCUGUUCUCACGUGCGUUAGCUGAAGUUCACGGUGGUGGAGACCGCAGGCGAGGGGACCCAGCCCCCAGGGCUGCAGGACAGAGAAGAGAUCAGAAUGACUGGAACCCAGGAGCCUGGAGGGGCCCACAGAGCUGAGGUCAGAUGGCUCAGCUGCCGCCGUGACCUUGGAGGGGACAUGUGAGCCAGUCCUGCGUGUACGGAAAACUCUGAAAACCAGCCUCCGCCAAGGCUCCUGGGACAGGAUGAGCUGGAGGUGAAGUCACGUGCUGGAUGGCGCUGUCAGGGAAAGAAGCAGGCCAGGAGGAGGUGUCCCUGCGUCUCGCUGGCCUGCAGUCUCCCUCCGGGGCCCUGUCAACGGGCUCCAGCAGGGAGCAGCUGGCAACGCAUAAUGUGGUUGCAAAUCCCAGCCCCGCGUCGCACAGCCCAGCAGAGAAGCGCGAUUUAGACGGAGGGACGGCGAAGGGCUUGACAUCUGUGCACACACGGUGCUUCCCUCCACACCUUCCCUCUGCCUCUCCCGCUGGGUGUCAAGGUUCUUCUGGAAGGGCGUCCGUGAGCCUACGAUGGCAGCUGUCUCCUGCCCUCCUUACCUGUAGGAGGCAGACCCGAACCCACCUCUCGCCAGUCUCCGGGAUUCGCUGACUUCUCUUGGAAGUGGUUCCGCCUGACCUCCCUCUGGCUCUGAGCUUUUCAAGGCUCUUAGUUCCUGGUCUUCACGUGUUCAGCGUGUUCCUGAGUUACUUUUGCAUCGCUUUGCUUUCCUUUUUCAAGUCAUUUUAUUUUAGACACGUUCUUAUACACUGUGUCUGUUCUUUUUACUCCAAUCUG
RNAcentral lists this long non-coding RNA (1234 nucleotides) under Equus caballus (horse). RNAcentral describes it as "lncRNA (ENSECAG00000057276.1)". The record is from RNAcentral. Lineage: Eukaryota; Metazoa; Chordata; Mammalia; Perissodactyla; Equidae.